This 424-nucleotide ribosomal RNA is filed under the name uncultured prokaryote. Its description in RNAcentral is "bacterial SSU rRNA". It matches the Rfam family "Bacterial small subunit ribosomal RNA", at positions 355 to 796 of the family's 1533-position model. The record is from RNAcentral.
UGGGGAAUAUUGGACAAUGGGGGCAACCCUGAUCCAGCCAUGCCGCGUGCGUGAAGAAGGCCUUAGGGUUGUAAAGCGCUUUCAGCGGGGAAGAUAAUGACAGUACCUGGUAAAGAAACCCCGGCUAACUCCGUGCCAGCAGCCGCGGUAAUACGGAGGGGGUUAGCGUUGUUCGGAAUUACUGGGCGUAAAGCGCGCGUAGGCGGAUUAGUCAGUCAGAGGUGAAAUCCCGGGGCUCAACCCCGGAACUGCCUUUGAUACUGCUAGUCUUGAGUUCGAGAGAGGUGAGUGGAAUUCCGAGUGUAGAGGUGAAAUUCGUAGAUAUUCGGAGGAACACCAGUGGCGAAGGCGGCUCACUGGCUCGAUACUGACGCUGAGGUGCGAAAGCGUGGGGAGCAAACAGGAUUAGAUACCCGUGUAGUCC